CCGUUGCUGUUUUCUAUACAUACAAGGACAGAUUCGCCAUCGAAUUAGAUCAUUACUAUCUCUCGAAGAUGCACAGCAUAAUUUUUGCAAAUAUAUUUCAUGGGCAACAUGGAAGAACAACUUGAUCGAGAGAUCAAUUUAGGAAUGAAGCGAGCAAUUGUUCAAGACCUGCAGCAACUGCUUCAUGAACAUCAUGCGUUGGUCAAGUUGUUUAAGAGUGCUUUAGAGCGCAUGCCAAAUGAUGACUAGAGAUUGUCAUCAAAGCAGAUAAAUGACCAUCUGGAACGUCGCGAUACUGGGCAACUACAACAAAUAUCUGAAACACAUCGAUCAUAUGACGCAUUGCCAUAUCAAAAUAAUAAAUCCAAUGAAUGGUGAAGAAACUACAAAGAAAGUUAGCUCAAUGAAUUACAUAUUACGCAUAUCGUUUGAUGAUUCGUCAAAAUGCUUAUAAUUAUUUGCUGCGGUUUCGUCGAACCAAGCCAAACUGCGUUCUGAGGAGUACAUCCAUUUACUUGAUGCAGUUAGUAAUGAAGGAAAUGCAGCUAAUAUUGAUCGAUUAACUAUUCUGCCGGCGAUGUACAUUGGUGGUCCAAGUCAUAUGCAUGAAUAUGCGAUCCGUUUGCACGAACUUUGCUUUACUCGGACAUGCCACGUUAUUAUACUUGGAAUGCUUCAUCGAAGAAUUUUCAAAGACAGAACAAGGCGUUGCGCUUCCUGAGUAUCCGGAUGUGAGUUCUACUGAUAAUCAUGGUCGUAUGUAUACAGUUCAUCCAAAAAAUGGAAAAUGUUUCUAUUUGCGGCUGUUGCUGGUGAAUGUGCGUGGGCCAACGUCAUUUGAGACACUACGGACUGUUAAUGGUGUAAUAUUCCCAACAUAUCGUGCUGCAUGUGAAGCACUGAAUUUAUUAGAAAAUGAUACCCAUUGGGAUAAGACAAUCGCUGAAGCCCUUAUCUCUGCAUCUCCAAGUCAGAUAACCACAUUAUUCGCUAUCAUAAUUUCGACA
Molecule: long non-coding RNA, 1007 nt
Organism: Diorhabda carinulata
Lineage: Eukaryota; Metazoa; Arthropoda; Insecta; Coleoptera; Chrysomelidae
Exons: 3
Source: RefSeq, a predicted model, not a curated record